GCCGACGUGGACCAUUGGCAGGUCAGCGGAUUGUCUAUCCGUCUUUAUGCGAGUUCGAUUCUCGUCGUCGGCGCCA
Molecule: transfer RNA, 76 nt
Filed under: Rhodocyclaceae bacterium
Lineage: Bacteria; Pseudomonadati; Pseudomonadota; Betaproteobacteria; Rhodocyclales; Rhodocyclaceae
Description: tRNA-Asp
Rfam family: tRNA
About the family: Transfer RNA (tRNA) molecules are approximately 80 nucleotides in length. Their secondary structure includes four short double-helical elements and three loops (D, anti-codon, and T loops).
Source: RNAcentral